This is a long non-coding RNA of Lutra lutra (Eurasian river otter), 306 nucleotides long. RefSeq lists it as uncharacterized. NCBI's taxonomy places the organism in Eukaryota, Metazoa, Chordata, Mammalia, Carnivora, Mustelidae. The record is from RefSeq and is a predicted model, not a curated record. The transcript is spliced from 2 exons.
CUAACUAAUGCAAAACACACAAGAAAUAAGAGGAAUGAAUAUUCAAAAAGAAGAGACAGGACUGUCACCAUUUGCUGACAAGGAUGUAUAAGAGAAGAAUCACUCCCCACCUCCAAGGAAAAGAUUAGAAAAGGAGUCUGGGAGAGCUCCACGGGACCUCAGAAGAUGCCGCCCACCGCAGACAAGACUUCAGAACCAUUUGCCAUUUCCACCUGAGAGCAUCCUCUCUGCUCUCAAAUCACUCCCCUUCUUUCUCAUAUCUUAAGUUUUCACCAUAAAAUAUAGUUCUUCCCUUUUGCUUACUAA